GAUUCGUCGGCUGUUAAGAGCGAUGAAUCUCUUUGGUGAAUCUGCGCUGACAGGUUUUUAGUGACAUGGAUGAAUCUUCGGGGGUGAAUCUCGUGGGUCUUUUGGUGACCUGGAUUCAGGCUAGCUGAAUCGGCUUUGGCAGUAAUGUUGUCUUUGUCUCUUCGCCGGAAUCGGGACCUGAACCCCAGCCUUUUUUUCACCAUUUGGACUGUGGUUGACUUCGAUUACGGUUUCCCACACCACCUGUUAGCACUUGAUAUUUAUAGACCCUUGGUGAUAUGAAUUGCAAUAUAUUCGACAAUACACGAAGUACACAUAUUUGACAUUGUACGUAAUAUUUGGUUUUUGAGGUUUAGUAUUCUUUAUCUAUUACACACUUACAACAACUUAGAAUAUUGUCUAGAAUUCUGCUUACAAAAUAUAAUAUUUUCGUUUAGAGGAGCUAUUAUUUAUAUAGCAACUAAGUCAAGGCCAUCUCACAUCUUGAAUGUAAAAAGUUCAAGAUGUCCGUGUGAUCCACAGGCUUUGGGAGAGUAAUCCUCAAAUUCCAAAUUUGUUCACGCACGUAUACGAUAUAACGUAAUACGGAAUACAAUGCACAUACGGGGACUGUAGUUCGAACAGGUGUAGAGGAUCGGGGGUGCUUUUCCCACCUGGGCAGGAACAACAUGGGCCACACUCUUGGCGUUGUCGAUGCGGAAGUUUUGUUGCCAAGGAUGAAGCCGGAGGAACCGGUGGGCCAUGGCCGUCCGAGGAAACCUGAGUCCUCCGACGCCGAGCUCGUCCAUCAUUUUUCUGGCGCGUAUGCCUUCAUGAAUUUUUUUCUGGAACGGGGUCAGUUGAUUGAAUCCGUUGCGCUAUUCCGGGGAAAGGGAGCCUUUGAGCGUUGAAAUAGGCCAAGAGUGCUUCUGUGGAGAACUUUGAUACCAAGAAGUGAUGGUAACCUGUACGUCUGAGGGUGCGGUUUGAGUGAGGAUUGUUUGAGUUGAUGCGCACUAUUUCAGUUCGUGUGCUUCACCGAGCUAAUGUUGCACAUUGAAGUGGUCGUGCUUCUCUUAGUCUGAAGUGCAUAGCUCUCGUGCGACGAGUGGUUAGUGUAAGGUUGGAGCUUAUCUGUGCCGUCUACCUGUCGAUUCCUUGCUCCGUUACUAACGUAAGAGCAAGGCUUCGGUGUAAAACUUGUCGGACGAAAUGGCUUGCUGUACACUAAUAGAGAGGACAAGGAAUGUGAUGUGUUGCUCUGACAUUCUGAUGUGUUGUAUCAAUCCACUAGUUGAAUGCUGUGUCUGUACUCUUGUGAAGAGGUUUUAUGUGUA
Non-coding RNA from Physcomitrium patens, 1316 nucleotides. Lineage: Eukaryota; Viridiplantae; Streptophyta; Bryopsida; Funariales; Funariaceae. The record is from RefSeq and is a predicted model, not a curated record.